RNAcentral lists this long non-coding RNA (320 nucleotides) under Elaeis guineensis (African oil palm). RNAcentral's name for it is "long non-coding RNA (EGUI_LNC007860)". Lineage: Eukaryota; Viridiplantae; Streptophyta; Magnoliopsida; Arecales; Arecaceae. The record is from RNAcentral.
GAUCAUAUUUUGCCACCCCUAUACACGCCCAAUAAUAUCUAAUACAUACAAUCCUUAUAUAUGAACUUUAGAAAAUCUUUUAAUUCGCAAAUAUUUCCAUGUUAGUGGCUGCCUUUAGGAGCAUAAGAUUUUAAAAUUAAUCCAACACACAUAUCAUAACAAUACAUACCAUAGAACAAUCAAUUAAACAAAACUUUGUACCAGAAAAUGUUCAAUUUGACUUGAAUAAAUAUAUGAAAAAUGAAUCGGUAACACUGAUCUUAACACCAAAAGUAGAAUAAUCCAUUAAAUUAGCAGUUUUCAACUUUGACAGUCUUUAC